This 525-nucleotide ribosomal RNA is filed under the name uncultured bacterium. RNAcentral's name for it is "bacterial SSU rRNA". It matches the Rfam family "Bacterial small subunit ribosomal RNA", at positions 29 to 455 of the family's 1533-position model. The record is from RNAcentral.
AGUGAACGCUGGCGGCGUGCCUAACACAUGCAAGUCGAACGGGCUAGUGCUUCGCACUAGUCUCUUUCUGGGGUUGCUACUCUAAGGCUACCUGCUAAAGUUAUUGCUUUAAAGCAGGGGUUUUAGGGGACCUUCCCCAAAAGGGGCCAGUGCGGAGCACUGGCCAGUGGCGAACGGGUGAGUAACACGUGGGUAAUCUGCCCUCGAGUGGGGAAUAAGCUCCCGAAAGGGGGUCUAAUACCGCAUGACGUUUCAUAACGAUGGUUAUGAAACCAAAGCCCAAAAGGCGCUUGAGGAGGAGCCUGCGUCCUAUCAGCUUGUUGGCAGGGUAAUGGCCUACCAAGGCUAAUGACGGGUAGCCGGCCUGAGAGGGUGUCCGGCCACACUGGAACUGAGACACGGUCCAGACUCCUACGGGAGGCAGCAGUGGGGAAUUUUGCGCAAUGGGGAAAACCCUGACGCAGCGACGCCGCGUGGAGGAUGACGGCCUGGUUGUAACGUACUGUCACGAGAGAAGUACCGACG